RNAcentral lists this ribosomal RNA (439 nucleotides) under uncultured bacterium. RNAcentral's name for it is "partial 16S ribosomal RNA". It matches the Rfam family "Bacterial small subunit ribosomal RNA", at positions 338 to 795 of the family's 1533-position model. The record is from RNAcentral.
CCUACGGGAGGCUGCAGUGGGGAAUAUUGCACAAUGGGCGAAAGCCUGAUGCAGCGACGCCGCGUGAGCGAUGAAGGACUUCGGGUCGUAAAGCUCUGUCCUCAAGGAAGAUAAUGACGGUACUUGAGGAGGAAGCCCCGGCUAACUACGUGCCAGCAGCCGGGGUAAUACGUGGGGGGCUAGCGUUAUCCGGAAUUACUGGGCGAAAGGGGUGCGUAGGUGGUUUCGAAAGUUGGAGUGGAAAGGCAAGGGUUCAACCAGAGUAAGCCUUUGAAACUGGGGAACUUGAGUGCAGGAGAGGAAAGUGGAAUUCCUAGUGUAGCGGUGAAAUGCGUAGAUAUUAGGAGGAACACCAGUGGCGAAGGCGGCUCUCUGGACUGUAACUGACGUUGAGGCACGAAAGCGUGGGGAGCAAACAGGAUUAGAUACCCCGGUAGUC